GAAAGAUACUCAUGUGCAUGGUGAAUGCCUUGGGUCUUGAUGCCGAAGAAGGACGUGCCAGGCUGCGAUAAGCCUCGAGAAGCUGCCAAGAAGCGCUAUACUCGGGGAUUUCCGAAUGGGGAAACCCAACUACUGCAAAGUAGUUAUUUCUUUAUUGAAAGCUAAAUUUACUUUAGCCAUAGAUAAAGAGAUGGUGACCCGGUGAACUGAAACAUCUUAGUAACCGGAGGAAAAGAAACUAAAAAAACCUAAUUUAUUAGGUAGGUAUUUCCCAAGUAGCGGCGAGCGAAAGGGAACUAGCCCAAACUCAGACAAGAUCUAUUCAAUUAGAUCCGUUGAGACCUUGUUUACAAGAUCUUAACGCUCUGGGGGUAUGGAAACUCUAUGCCUUUAAGGCAAAAAAGUUAGAAAAUUUUCUGUAGAAGAAGCUUGCUGGAAAGCGGCGCCAUAGAGAGUAAUAGCCUCGUAAUCGAAACAGAAAAUCUUUUUGAGUUAUCCUGAGUAACACGAGACACGUGUAACCUCGUGUGAACGAAGCAGGACCAUCUGCUAAGGCUAAACACAUCAAGACACCGAUAGUGAACCAGUACCGUAAGGGAAAGGUGAAAAGAACCCCGGGAAGGGGAGUGAAAUAGAACCUGAAACCGUGCACAGACAAGCUGAUAGAGCCUGUUCACUUUAUGUGAAUGGGUGAUAUUGUGCCUAUUGAAAAAUGAGCCAGCGAGUUAAUGGUACGCGCAAGCUUAAGCGAUUCAGUCGUGGAGGCGUAGGGAAACCGAGUCCUAACCGGCGAUUAGUGCGUGCUAUUAGACCCGAAGCCAAGUGAGCUAACCAUGGGCAGGGUGAAGUCUGUCGAAAGUCAGAUGGAGGCCCGAACCGAUGUAUGUGGAAAAAUGCUCGGAUGACCUGUGGUUAGGGCUGAAACGGCAAUCGAACUUGGCGAUAGCUGGUUCUCCCCGAAAUAUAUGUAGGUAUAGCCUUGAUCUUAUACGGGUUGUGAGGUAGAGAUACUGAAAAGAGAUUGGGCGCUUUGCGUACCAACUCUUACCAAACUCCGAAUGCACAAUCCUUUGAUCAGGAGUCAGUUCUAGGGAGCAAGUUCCUAGCGCGAAAGGGAAACAUCCCAGACCAUCAGUUAAGGUCCCAAAUCUUUGCUUAGUGAGAAAGGCAGUAAAGCUGUUUAGACAGCUAGGAGGUUAGCUUAGAAGCAGCAAUCCUUUAAAGAAAGCGUAACAGCUCACUAGUUAAACGGCUUUGCGCCUAAAAUUUAACGGGACUCAAGCAAAGAACCGACACUAUGGUUUUGUCGUUCCUUCGGGAGCGGCAGAAGGUAGGGGAGCAUUGAUGUCAUCCGUCUCUGACGGAUCUCGGCUGUGAAGGUAGACUCGGGAGAGCUACUGGAGCGUCAUCAAGUGAGAAUGCUGGCAUGAGUAACGAGAAGGUGGUGAAAACCCACCUCGCCGAAAAUCUAAGGGUUCCUCCGCUAUGUCAGUCAUCGGAGGGUUAGUCGACCCUAAGGCGAGGCCGAAAGGCGUAGCCGAUGGAUAGCAGGUUAAUAUUCCUGCACUACUAUAAAACCGUUACCACCGAUGGAGGGACGGAGUUUGAUAAGUUGAGCCCAUUAAGGAUUUGGGUCCCAAGAACGAGUUAGAAUGCGUAGGAAAAUCCGCGCUUUCGCUUAAGGCAAGUUCGAGGGAGAAGGCCGUCUUCGGACGGAGUAUUCGACUGCGUUAAGCUUCCUGGAAAAGCUUCUAGGGAGGUUUUAUAGUAAUCGUACCGCAAACCGACACAGGUAGAUAGGUAGAGAAUACCAAGGCGAACGAGAGAAUCGUGACCGAGGAACUAGGCAAAUUACAUCCGUAACUUAGGGAAAAGGAUGCCCUAUCGCAAGAUAGGGGGCACAGAAAUGGCUCAAGCGACUGUUUACUAAAAACACAGGUCUCUGCUAAACUCGUAAGAGGACGUAUAGGGGCCGACACCUGCCCAGUGCCCGUAAGUUAAGACUGGAGGUGAUUUCUUCUCAAUGGGAAGAAUGAGCUUUCGGUUCAAGCUCGGGUGAACGGCAGCAAUAACUAUAAUUGUUCUAAGGUAGCGUAAUCCCUUGCCGGGUAAGUUCCGGCCUGCACGAAAGGUGUAACGACUUGAGCACUCUCUUAGUCACGAACUCGGUGAAAUUGAACUACCGGUAAAGAUGCCGGUUACCUGUUGCUGGACAGAUAGACCCCGUGGAGCUUUACUGUAUUCUGAUAUUGGUGCGUGUUGUUAACUGUGUAGAGUAGGAGGGAGUGUUUUGUCGCCCAAGGGCAAUGAGACACGUCAAUGAAACACCUCUCUUUUAACAAUGCAAGCCUAACUGUCUCCCGUUAAGCCGGGAGGAGGACAAUGUUUGAAGGACAGUUUAUCUGGGGCGGAUUCCUGCUAAAGAGUAACGCAGGAGCACAAAGGUUCCCUUGUCUCGGAUGGAAAUCGAGAUGUAAGCGUAAAGGUAUAUGGGAGCUUGACUGCAAGACAGACAAGUCGCGCAGAUACGAAAGUAGGUCUUAGUGAUCUUCCAUGAGCCUAGUGGUAGGCCUGGAACUUAUCGGAUAAAAGUUACCCCGGGGAUAACAGGCUAAUAGUGCCCGAGCGCCCACAGCGGCGGCACUGUUUGGCACCUACAAGGAAAUAGAAAGGGGUGCUAUCGGAGAAAUCCGGUACCAAAAAUUCGGCUAAUAACGGUGGAGUCCUAACGCACAUUGUGGUAAUGUUAGUGCGUGGAUAAUACCGUGGGAAGUCUAACAAAAGUUCAGAAAUCCAUAAUAACAGGAAAAUUGUUGGGAGAUGGAUCUCUAAGAAGGAGAAAGAACACUCUUUUAGAGAUUAAUCAUUCUUACAAACAGAAAGAGUAUGUAUUUUGGUUGUACGAGAAGUUGGAAUCUUAUGUUUCAACUCCUCCGAAGUUGAGAAAAUCCGGGAAAAACAGAUUUUCUUAUCGAUUUACAACCAGAAGCAUACCCGAAUUAAAUGUGUUUUAUGAGGAUUACUAUUCCUCUAAGGCAUAUAAAACCGUUCCCAGAAACCUACAG
Molecule: ribosomal RNA, 3065 nt
Filed under: Candidatus Woesearchaeota archaeon
Lineage: Archaea; Nanobdellati; Candidatus Woesearchaeota
Description: bacterial LSU rRNA
Rfam family: Bacterial large subunit ribosomal RNA
Source: RNAcentral